Molecule: ribosomal RNA, 468 nt
Filed under: uncultured bacterium
Lineage: Bacteria
Description: partial 16S ribosomal RNA
Rfam family: Bacterial small subunit ribosomal RNA
Source: RNAcentral
GACGAACGCUGGCGGCGUGCUUAACACAUGCAAGUCGAACGGAAAGGCCCUGCUUUUGUGGGGUGCUCGAGUGGCGAACGGGUGAGUAACACGUGAGUAACCUGCCCUUGACUUUGGGAUAACUUCAGGAAACUGGGGCUAAUACCGGAUAGGAGCUCCUGCUGCAUGGUGGGGGUUGGAAAGUUUCGGCGGUUGGGGAUGGACUCGCGGCUUAUCAGCUUGUUGGUGGGGUAGUGGCUUACCAAGGCUUUGACGGGUAGCCGGCCUGAGAGGGUGACCGGCCACAUUGGGACUGGGGUUCGGGCCAAACUCCUACGGGAGGCAGCAGGGGGGAAUAAUGCACAAUGGGCGGAAGCCUGAUGCAGCAACGCCGCGGGCGGGAUGACGGCCUUCGGGUUGUAAACCGCUUUCGCCUGUGACGAAGCGUGAGUGACGGUAAUUGGUAAAGAAGCACCGGCUAACUACGUG